Molecule: ribosomal RNA, 254 nt
Filed under: uncultured bacterium
Lineage: Bacteria
Description: partial 16S ribosomal RNA
Rfam family: Bacterial small subunit ribosomal RNA
Source: RNAcentral
UACGUAGGGUGCGAGCGUUACUCGGAAUUACUGGGCGUAAAGCGUGCGCAGGCGGUUUUGUAAGCCGGAUGUGAAAUCCCCGGGCUCAACCUGGGAACUGCAAUGGAAACUGGCGGGCUUGAGUAUGGCAGAGGGGGGUGGAAUUCCGCGUGUAGCAGUGAAAUGCGUAGAUAUCGGGAGGAACACCAGUGGCGAAGGCGACUACCUGGCCUGUUUCUUGACGCUGAGGCGCGAAAGCUAGGGGAGCAAACGGG